This is a long non-coding RNA of Halichondria panicea, 552 nucleotides long. RefSeq lists it as uncharacterized. The record is from RefSeq and is a predicted model, not a curated record. The transcript is spliced from 3 exons. NCBI's taxonomy places the organism in Eukaryota, Metazoa, Porifera, Demospongiae, Suberitida, Halichondriidae.
GCACUUCCGUAUACUCAUAAAGCUUAGUAAAAGAUUUUCUGGAGAAGAGGAGUUAGUUAGAUGAAGGCUAGGCAUUCUAGGACUCUCUAGCUAGCUAGUAUAGCUAUGUAGCUGGAUUGCUUGGCAUCUAGGAAGGAUCUUCUGAGAAAUAAAAAGACAAAGACUCCCGUCGCUCCAAUGGUCCGCGUUGCGAGUGUCGGAGGCCUGAGAAACAAUAGUCUAUUGGCUAGAAUGUAGUUAUGGAGGGUUUAUGAAGACAAGUGGCACGGGAUACAUACAUCCAAAGAAACAAGAGUGGAUCUACGCCAAGCUAGCUAGCUAGAUAACUGCUCUUUCUAAUGAAUUUCUGUUGCUAAAUUAUGUUUGUUAAGAAGUGGAGCUAUAAUUAUACCUGGCUCCUCUUGAUGAUUGUAAGUACUGGGCUGAUGAAAUAGUCCUGUACAAGUUGUAAUCUUUUUUUGUUAAAAAUAAUUAAUAAUAAUAGGGAAAUUCCCAGGGAAUUUCCCCUCACGUAGACAGUAAAUUUCAUUGUAAAAAAUGAACGUUCGGUGA